AUUUCAUUAUGGAGUUCGGUUCCUCUCCACGCCUAUAUUUCUUUUCCAGUCUUUAUCCAGCAUCCUGCUAACAGGCUGACCUGCACAACAACCAGAGAGGAUGGGCCCCUGGCUGCUGUCCUGGGAGGCUUCUCCUUUUCUCUAAUCCUUUCUGACAAAAAGUGACCGGUUAUACAGAAAAGGUUGAUGAUGAACAGAAGAGGUGAAUCCAUUAUUUUGCAAAUGCCUGGGAGGAUAUGAAGACUCAAGGACCUCAGAUCCUUCUUGGAAGGAGGUAGAAGAAUUACUCUUAAAUAAGUUAAAUCAUCUCACA
This 313-nucleotide long non-coding RNA is filed under the name Vulpes vulpes (red fox). RNAcentral describes it as "lncRNA (ENSVVUG00000002807.1)". The record is from RNAcentral. Lineage: Eukaryota; Metazoa; Chordata; Mammalia; Carnivora; Canidae.